This 253-nucleotide ribosomal RNA is filed under the name uncultured bacterium. RNAcentral describes it as "partial 16S ribosomal RNA". It matches the Rfam family "Bacterial small subunit ribosomal RNA", at positions 524 to 776 of the family's 1533-position model. The record is from RNAcentral.
UACGGGGGGGGCAAGCGUUGUUCGGAAUUACUGGGCAUAAAGGGCUCGUAGGCGGCCAACUAAGUCAGACGUGAAAUCCCUCGGCUUAACCGGGGAACUGCGUCUGAUACUGGAUGGCUUGAAUCCGGGAGAGGGAUGCGGAAUUCCAGGUGUAGCGGUGAAAUGCGUAGAUAUCUGGAGGAACACCGGUGGCGAAGGCGGCAUCCUGGACCGGCAUUGACGCUGAGGAGCGAAAGCCAGGGGAGCAAACGGG